RNAcentral lists this ribosomal RNA (860 nucleotides) under uncultured bacterium. Its description in RNAcentral is "bacterial SSU rRNA". It matches the Rfam family "Bacterial small subunit ribosomal RNA", at positions 56 to 919 of the family's 1533-position model. The record is from RNAcentral.
UGCAAGUCGAGCGGGAGGGGCAGCAAUGCCCUGAGAGCGGCGCACGGGUGCGUAACGCGUAUGCAACCUGCCUUAUACAAAGGGAUAGCCCAUGGAAACGUGGAUUAAUAUCUUAUAGGACUUAAGAAUCGCAUGGUUUUUAAGUUAAAACUACGGCGGUAUAAGAUGGGCAUGCGUCUGAUUAGGUAGUUGGUAGGGUAACGGCCUACCAAGCCGACGAUCAGUAGGGGUUCUGAGAGGAUUACCCCCCACACUGGUACUGAGACACGGACCAGACUCCUACGGGAGGCAGCAGUGAGGAAUAUUGGUCAAUGGGCGAGAGCCUGAACCAGCCAUCCCGCGUGCAGGAUGACGGCCCUAUGGGUUGUAAACUGCUUUUCUGCCCCAAGAAACCUGAUUACGAGUAAUCAGUUGACGGUAGGGCAGGAAUAAGCAUCGGCUAACUCCGUGCCAGCAGCCGCGGUAAUACGGAGGAUGCAAGCGUUAUCCGGAUUCAUUGGGUUUAAAGGGUGCGCAGGUUGGGAUGUAAGUCAGUGGUGAAAUACUGCCGCUUAACGGUAGAGCUGCCAUUGAUACUGCGUUUCUUGAGUAUGGUUGAGGUAGGUGGAAUGUGUUGUGUAGCGGUGAAAUGCAUAGAUAUGACACAGAACGCCGAUUGCGAACGCAACUUACUAAGCCAUUACUGACGCUGAGGCACGAAAGCGUGGGUAGCGAACAGGAUUAGAUACCCUGGUAGUCCACGCCGUAAACGAUGUUCACUCGCUGUUUGCGAUACACAGUAAGCGGCUGAGCGAAAGCAUUAAAGUGAACCACCUGGGGAGUACGAUCGCAAGGUUGAAACUCAAGGAAUUUGACGGGGG